CCGAGUUUACAACUCCCAAACCCCUGUGAACCUUACCUAUCGUUGCCUCGGCGGCCGCCCCCGGGCAGCCGCCAGAGGACCCAAACUCUUGUUUUAUAUGUGGUAUCUUCUGAGUGACACAAGCAAAAUAAAUCA
This 135-nucleotide unclassified non-coding RNA is filed under the name uncultured Nectriaceae. RNAcentral describes it as "sequence contains ITS1". The record is from RNAcentral. Lineage: Eukaryota; Fungi; Ascomycota; Sordariomycetes; Hypocreales; Nectriaceae.